GACGAACCGUGCGAACGUUAUUCGGAAUCACUGGGCUUAAAGGGCGCGUAGGCGGGCCUCCAAGUCAGGGGUGAAAUCCUCCAGCUCAACUGGAGAAGUGCCCUUGAUACUGGGGGCCUCGAGGGGGGUAGGGGCGUGCGGAACUUCCGGUGGAGCGGUGAAAUGCGUAGAUAUCGGAAGGAACACCGGUGGCGAAAGCGGCGCGCUGGACCCCUUCUGACGCUGAGGCGCGAAAGCCAGGGGAGCAAACGGG
RNAcentral lists this ribosomal RNA (253 nucleotides) under uncultured bacterium. RNAcentral describes it as "partial 16S ribosomal RNA". It matches the Rfam family "Bacterial small subunit ribosomal RNA", at positions 524 to 776 of the family's 1533-position model. The record is from RNAcentral.